This is a non-coding RNA of Vicugna pacos (alpaca), 160 nucleotides long. The record is from RefSeq and is a predicted model, not a curated record. NCBI's taxonomy places the organism in Eukaryota, Metazoa, Chordata, Mammalia, Artiodactyla, Camelidae.
AUCAAAAAAGUAAAGACUUUUUCAUUAAUGUUUCCAGGAAGGAGUGGAGCAUGGUGGUGAAGAGCACAGAUGCUAGGGACAAACAUGAGGGUCUGAGCUCCCACAGCACUGGGUAGCUUUGACACUGAUAAGUCAGUGAAAUCUUCUGCAUCCCUGUCUC